RNAcentral lists this transfer RNA (70 nucleotides) under Tenuibranchiurus glypticus. RNAcentral describes it as "tRNA-Val". Lineage: Eukaryota; Metazoa; Arthropoda; Malacostraca; Decapoda; Parastacidae. The record is from RNAcentral.
CAAAAUAAAGCUAUAGCUUUAGCAUUUCACUUACGUUGAAAAGGUUGUCGAGGGAUCCGAUGUAUUUUGA